This 403-nucleotide ribosomal RNA is filed under the name uncultured bacterium. RNAcentral's name for it is "partial 16S ribosomal RNA". It matches the Rfam family "Bacterial small subunit ribosomal RNA", at positions 30 to 526 of the family's 1533-position model. The record is from RNAcentral.
AUUGAACGCUGGCGGCAGGCCUAACACAUGCAAGUCGAGCGAGCGGCGGACGGGUGAGUAAUGUAUGGGGACUGCCCGAUAGAGGGGGAUAACUACUGGAAACGGUAGCUAAUACCGCAUACUAUCGGAUAACCCAUAUGGGAUUAGCUAGUCGGUGAGGUAAUGGCUCACCUAGGCGACGCUCCCUAGCUGGUCUGCGAGGAUGAUCAGCCACACUGGGACUGAGACACGGCCCAUACUCCUCCGGAGGCAGCAGGGGGGAAUAUUGCAAAAUGGGCGAAAACCUGAGGGAGCCAUGCGGCGUGUAUGAAGAAGGCCCUAGGGUUGUAAAGUACUUUCAGUCGGGAGACGUUACCGACAGAAGAAGCACCGGCUAACUCCGUGCCAGAAGCCGCGGUAAUAC